Non-coding RNA from Mycena galericulata, 95 nucleotides. Lineage: Eukaryota; Fungi; Basidiomycota; Agaricomycetes; Agaricales; Mycenaceae. The record is from the annotation of a GenBank genome assembly.
GGCCCGGUGGUGGAUGCCCACGCCUACGUUAAGUUCUAAGGUUCAGAUACAGUAGGAGUACGUAGGAGAUCCCCGUUCGAUUCGGGGCCGGGCCA